This 853-nucleotide ribosomal RNA is filed under the name Pseudomonas sp. RNAcentral's name for it is "bacterial SSU rRNA". It matches the Rfam family "Bacterial small subunit ribosomal RNA", at positions 21 to 869 of the family's 1533-position model. The record is from RNAcentral. Lineage: Bacteria; Pseudomonadati; Pseudomonadota; Gammaproteobacteria; Pseudomonadales; Pseudomonadaceae.
GGCCGAACUGGAACGGGGGGGGGGCGGCUAACACAUGCAAGUCGAGCGGAUGAAGGGAGCUUGCUCCUGGAUUCAGCGGCGGACGGGUGAGUAAUGCCUAGGAAUCUGCCUGGUAGUGGGGGAUAACGUCCGGAAACGGGCGCUAAUACCGCAUACGUCCUGAGGGAGAAAGUGGGGGAUCUUCGGACCUCACGCUAUCAGAUGAGCCUAGGUCGGAUUAGCUAGUUGGUGGGGUAAAGGCCUACCAAGGCGACGAUCCGUAACUGGUCUGAGAGGAUGAUCAGUCACACUGGAACUGAGACACGGUCCAGACUCCUACGGGAGGCAGCAGUGGGGAAUAUUGGACAAUGGGCGAAAGCCUGAUCCAGCCAUGCCGCGUGUGUGAAGAAGGUCUUCGGAUUGUAAAGCACUUUAAGUUGGGAGGAAGGGCAGUAAGUUAAUACCUUGCUGUUUUGACGUUACCAACAGAAUAAGCACCGGCUAACUUCGUGCCAGCAGCCGCGGUAAUACGAAGGGUGCAAGCGUUAAUCGGAAUUACUGGGCGUAAAGCGCGCGUAGGUGGUUCAGCAAGUUGGAUGUGAAAUCCCCGGGCUCAACCUGGGAACUGCAUCCAAAACUACUGAGCUAGAGUACGGUAGAGGGUGGUGGAAUUUCCUGUGGAGCGAUGAAAUGCGGACAUAUUCGAAGGAGCACCACGGCGGAGGGCGACCACCUGGAGUGAGACUGACACUGAUGUGCGAAACAGUGGCGAGCACACACCAUGAGAUACCCUGCGAGUCUGGGCCGCACACGAUGUCAACUAAACUUUUGGGGAGCGCUCACGAGAAUAUUGGCGGGGCUAAAAGGAAAAGAC